UGUGUAGUUCAGUGGUAGAGCUUGUGCUUAAGCAAUUAGGCCCUGGGUUCAAUCCCCAGAACCACAA
RNAcentral lists this transfer RNA (67 nucleotides) under Marmota monax (woodchuck). RNAcentral's name for it is "tRNA.Leu". The record is from RNAcentral. Lineage: Eukaryota; Metazoa; Chordata; Mammalia; Rodentia; Sciuridae.